RNAcentral lists this ribosomal RNA (497 nucleotides) under uncultured bacterium. RNAcentral describes it as "partial 16S ribosomal RNA". It matches the Rfam family "Bacterial small subunit ribosomal RNA", at positions 28 to 507 of the family's 1533-position model. The record is from RNAcentral.
GACGAACGCUGGCGGCGUGCCUAAUACAUGCAAGUUGAGCGAUGAAGAUUGGUGCUUGCACCAAUUUGAAGAGCAGCGAACGGGUGAGUAACGCGUGGGGAAUCUGCCUUUGAGCGGGGGACAACAUUUGGAAACGAAUGCUAAUACCGCAUAACAACUUUAAACAUAAGUUUUAAGUUUGAAAGAUGCAAUUGCAUCACUCAAAGAUGAUCCCGCGUUGUAUUAGCUAGUUGGUGAGGUAAAGGCUCACCAAGGCGAUGAUACAUAGCCGACCUGAGAGGGUGAUCGGCCACAUUGGGACUGAGACACGGCCCAAACUCCUACGGGAGGCAGCAGUAGGGAAUCUUCGGCAAUGGACGAAAGUCUGACCGAGCAACGCCGCGUGAGUGAAGAAGGUUUUCGGAUCGUAAAACUCUGUUGGUAGGGAAGAACGUUGGUGAGAGUGGAAAGCUCAUCAAGUGACGGUAACUACCCAUAAAGGGACGGCUAACUACGUG